Long non-coding RNA from Hirundo rustica (Barn swallow), 1871 nucleotides. RefSeq lists it as uncharacterized. Lineage: Eukaryota; Metazoa; Chordata; Aves; Passeriformes; Hirundinidae. The transcript is spliced from 4 exons. The record is from RefSeq and is a predicted model, not a curated record.
CUUCUGUUCCUUUCUUCUGCAGGGGGAAGGAUGAUGCCAUCCUCCUUAAAGGCCCAUAUGCUUCAUUCUGACAGACAGGGCUAUGAAGAAUUGGAAAGACAGCUGGAAGAAGUCUAUAAGGAAAGGAGCAACAUACUUCAUCAACUGUUAAAGACUUCUAAAGAACUUCAGGGGCUUAAAGUAAACCUCCAGGUUGGAUCUUUGCUGCUGAAUUCAUGACACUCAGUUUAGUUGCUCAGUUUUCCUUUCUGACGUGCCAUCUGCACAGUCGGACUGGAUUUACUGCAGGGCAUGGCUUGCCAAGUUCAGCUGACAAACUGUGCUAGAUGAGCCUGAAGUGAGAGCUGAGACUUCGCUGCCUUUAACUUCUGGGUGUCAUGGUGAGGCUGAAAGGGCGAUGGAUGAACUCUCAACUCAAACCUCAAAGCUCCUCAGAGGAAAAACCAGAUUGAAAAUGCUGCCCUGGAUCUGGGGUCCAGAUAUUCCGCUGAGGGAGCACCUGUGUUUUCCCAGUAGUGUCUGUUGGUCUGGUGAAAACAAUUAGACUCAUUAUCAGUUGAAGUUGGUCUCUGUAUUUCAUGCCACUUUAAAGGAAAUUAUUUUUCUGACAAUACAUUUUUAUCUUCAUCGAUGUAAGCUAUCUGGGAAAAGUAAAAGGAGAAGCGGCACUGCCUGUUCACAGGAGAGUACUAGUGGUGUGUAUCAGUCCGGUGCUAUAUUAUAUUAUGAUGGUUUAUUGUCCUGUGUUCCAGCCUUCUCUGGUUUUAAUUAAUCAACCCUUUGAUCUUUGGGGUUUUGGGUUCGGGAGUUGGGUUUAGUUUUGAGGGGUUUUUGGAGUGCUUUAUCACUGUUAUAGUAGGCUUUUUCUUACUUUGUAGAGAAAUGGGCUUCUCCUUGUAGCAAAUUGAUUUUAGCUUGUAGCACAGUUGGAGGUAGUAUUCAGCAAAAUCACACUGUGAAAUAUUAUAGGCUUAACACUACGGAGAUCCUGAUGUGGGCAAAGAGCUGUGCUAUUAUCUUCUGUACACGCACACACUUCCUGGGUCAUAAAAUUCUAAUGCUUUGAGUCAUUUGUCUGUUUCUAAAUCUGCUUAUUGUAUUUACCUCCCAUUUAGUAUCUGGAAAGUGCACGGCUGUGUGCAGCUUUUGUGUUUGAGUUGCAGUAAAAGAAAAGUCAGACUAUUCUUCCAAUUUUCUCAAGGGGUAAUGUCUGCAAUUCACCAGGACUAUUUUAUGAACGAGGGCCAGAUACUUUCAAGAUUAAUAAUAAUAAGGAUCUCUUUAAUAGAGGUUUUUUGUUGUUGUUGCUAUCAGUCUUAAAUAAUGAUGAAGCAUCAACCCAAACUGAUGUGCAGAAACUUGUGGAGCUGGGCCAAAACCAAAGGUAUUCCUGGCAAAUCUGUUAAGUUACAGAGGCAAGACUUUAGCUGAUGCCCUCUUUAAGUGCUUAGGUGGCUUGGAUGUGACUGAAGGCGUACAUCUCGGCAUCACAGAUUUCCUUCGCGCGGACGAAAUCCUUCGUCGUACACGAACGCCGUUUUGUGCUGGUUUGUCUGUUGUGCAACUUUCCUUUAUGAAAUCGAGACGUGAAUUGCUUAAAAGUAGUAAUGGACAGGUUAGUGAAUAGAUCUUAGGUGCAGAUGGGGAAAUGGAGUGUGCUAAAAGGAAAUUUGAUUGCAUAUUUCAAAGAUUCUUCCUAAUCACCACUUGCAGUCUCUCAAGAUCCACCCAAAAAUACGUGUUGACUUUUGCUUCUAAGGCCUCCAGACACUGAGUGUACUGCACAAGGGCGGUUCCCAGAAAUCAAGAGUGGGUCAGUGCAAUCUGCUGCUGGGCAGCCCACUCCAUCGUUCAGAAGAUGAAAGGUUUGA